RNAcentral lists this ribosomal RNA (800 nucleotides) under Bacillus subtilis. RNAcentral describes it as "bacterial SSU rRNA". It matches the Rfam family "Bacterial small subunit ribosomal RNA", at positions 37 to 813 of the family's 1533-position model. The record is from RNAcentral. Lineage: Bacteria; Bacillati; Bacillota; Bacilli; Caryophanales; Bacillaceae.
UUGCGUGGGGGCCUAAUACUGCAAGUCGAGCGGGACAGAUGGGAGCUUGCUCCCUGAUGUCAGCGGCGGACGGGUGAGUAACACGUGGGUAACCUGCCUGUAAGACUGGGUAUAACUCCGGGAAACCGGGGCUAAUACCGGAUGCUUGAUUGAACCGCAUGGUUCAAUUAUAAAAGGUGGCUUCUGCUACCACUUACAGAUGGACCCGCGGCGCAUUAACUAAUUGGUGAGGUAACGGCUCACCAAGGGGACCAUGCGUAACCCACCUGAAAAGGUGAUCGGCCACACUGGGACUGAAACACGGCCCAAACUCCUACGGGAGGGAACAAUAAGGAAUCUUCCGCAAUGGACGAAAGUCUGACGGAACAACGCCCCGGGAGUGAUGAAGGUUUUCGGAUCGUAAAACUCUUUUGUUAGGGAAAAACAAAUACCGUUCCAAUAAGGCGGUACCUUGAAGGGACCUAACCAAAAAGCCACGGGUAAAUACGUGCCAACAACCGGGGUAAUACCUAAGGGGGAAGCGUUUUCCGGAAUUAUUGGGCGUAAAGGGGGCGCAAGCCGUUUCUUAAGUCUGAUGUCAAAACCCCCAGCUCAACCCGCGAGGGGCAUUUGAAACUGGGGAACUUGAAUGCAAAAGAGGAGAAUGGCAUUCCCCCUUUAACCGCAAAAUUUAUAGAGAUGGCGAACAAGGCCACUGGCCAAGGUCACUCCCCAGGCUUUUACUGACCCUUAGGCGCUAAAAACUGGAGAGGCACCUUGGUACAUGGCGUCCUACCCACCCCCCCAAAUUUAACGGCUCA